Molecule: small nucleolar RNA, 94 nt
Filed under: Sus scrofa (pig)
Lineage: Eukaryota; Metazoa; Chordata; Mammalia; Artiodactyla; Suidae
Description: Small nucleolar RNA SNORD116 (ENSSSCG00070006172.1)
Rfam family: Small nucleolar RNA SNORD116
About the family: HBII-85 is a member of the C/D class of snoRNAs, which contain the C (UGAUGA) and D (CUGA) box motifs. HBII-85 is encoded in a tandemly repeated array with another C/D snoRNA, HBII-52, in the Prader-Willi syndrome (PWS) region of chromosome 15.
Source: RNAcentral
CGAUCGAUGAUGACACCCACAAACGCAUUCCUUGGAAAAUCUGAACAAAAUGAGUGAGAACUCACUACCGUCUCCUCAUCGCAAACUGAGGUCC